Myotis daubentonii (Daubenton's bat) is the source of this 1371-nucleotide long non-coding RNA. RefSeq lists it as uncharacterized. The record is from RefSeq and is a predicted model, not a curated record. NCBI's taxonomy places the organism in Eukaryota, Metazoa, Chordata, Mammalia, Chiroptera, Vespertilionidae.
GGCGAGAUGAUUUCACUCAUAUUCCCCCUAUUAAAAGAAGAAAAUAUCUUCUACCCCUGGUAGAUACCUUCUCAGGCUGGUUAGAGGCAUUCCCUACCACAUAUGAGAAGUCAUCUGAGGUUACACAACCCCUCAUACAAACAUGUCAUUCCUUGAUUUGGACUGCCCACCUCAUUACAGUCAGACAAUGGACCUGCCUUUAUAUGCCAAACAACCCAAGAAAUCUAUUCUGAAUAUCCAGUGGAACUUACAUACCCUUUACUGAACCCAAUCUUCAGACAAAGUAAAAAAGGCCAACUCCCUAAUUAAAUCCCAUUUAACUAAAUUAAGUCUUGAGACUAAGGAACCUUGGACCUCCCUCUUACCCCUCACCCUCAUAUGCAUCCGAACAACUCCCUGGGCCCCAUCCUUUCUCAGCCCCUUCGAAUUUGUGUGGAAAGCCCUUCCGACUAGGAAAUUUACCUUCCAAGGAAAACCCUUUAGGAGAUUAUAUACCUCCUAGAGGCCCGAUGCACGAAAUUCGUGCAGGGAGCUCGGCCCUCGCGGCCCUGGCUUUGUCCAGAAGGUCACUUGGCUGUCCGGUCUAAUUGGCAUAUUACACUUUUAUUAUUAUAGAUAACCUCGUCAGGCAACUAAUGAGUGCAUACAGACCAGAUUUUUCCACAGCCCUUUACGGGAGAGAUCCCUCCCACUCCCCUACAGCCAGGGGACUGGGUCCUACUGAAGGAAAUGCAUCCAUCAAACUACAGCCCCAAUGGCAAGGCCUAUAUUAGGCCUCUAUCACUCCUCUGGCCACUAAACUGCGUGGCCACCCCACGGGGUUCCACUUUUCUAGGUUAAAACUGGUCCCCAGAACACCAUCACCACAGAACCCCCUGUCAUUGAAAUCCCCCAAGAUACUUCAACCACCAAGUCGGACCCACGAAACUUCGACUCACCUGCAUUCCAGAGGAAGAAGACAAAUGAGACCAUUUCCAAGCUUUCACCAACCAUCCAUACAGAACCAGAACCUCACCCAGACGGGAGGGGACCAGUACCUCACAGGGGCUGACUACCAAGAUCUGUCUCAUUACGUCUUUGGCGCCCCAUCCAGCCUGAAGCAGAUACAGAAGAAACAACCUCUGCCCCCAUUCCAUAAACAAGAUCUGGGCAAGCAGUGAACCAGACCUCCCCUAGAGCUUGUCCUUCCCUGCAUGAGAACCUGGCUUUAGACAUCCUCCUUGACUAAAUGCAGUCACUUUCCAUCCUGCCCGCCCAGAAGAAACCCACCCAGGGUCCUGUAAAGGCCCUGACCGCUCAUGGGUGAUGCCAUUUUGGGACUCAGCCCAUCUGUUUGCAGAUGCCUUAAUAAACUUAACAUUCUUUACUUCA